GAUGAACGCUAGCUACAGGCUUAACACAUGCAAGUCGAGGGGAAACGACAUCGAAAGCUUGCUUUUGGUGGGCGUCGACCGGCGCACGGGUGAGUAACGCGUAUCCAACCUGCCCACCACUUGGGGAUAACCUUGCGAAAGUAAGACUAAUACCCGAUGAUAUCCCUAGACGACAUCUGAAAGGGAUUAAAGAUUUAUCGGUGAUGGAUGGGGAUGCGUCUGAUUAGCUUGUUGGCGGGGUAACGGCCCACCAAGGCAACGAUCAGUAGGGGUUCUGAGAGGAAGGUCCCCCACAUUGGAACUGAGACACGGCCCAGACUCCUACGGGAGGCAGCAGUGGGGGAUAUUGGUCAAUGGGGGCAACCCUGAACCAGCGACGCCGCGUGAGGGAAGAAGGUCUUCGGAUUGUAAACUUAUUUUGUCAGGGAAGAAAUAAAUGACUGUACCUGAAGAAAAAGCACCGGCUAACUACGUG
Molecule: ribosomal RNA, 475 nt
Filed under: uncultured bacterium
Lineage: Bacteria
Description: bacterial SSU rRNA
Rfam family: Bacterial small subunit ribosomal RNA
Source: RNAcentral